Molecule: microRNA precursor, 69 nt
Filed under: Bombyx mori (domestic silkworm)
Lineage: Eukaryota; Metazoa; Arthropoda; Insecta; Lepidoptera; Bombycidae
Description: mir-2774 microRNA precursor family
Rfam family: mir-2774 microRNA precursor family
Source: Rfam by way of RNAcentral
ACAACCUUAGGAGCGUCGGUCUACCGAGCAAUAUUCCACCCGCUCGUUGGAAGAUCUUCCCUUUGUCGU